UGCGUUCCAUUAGGCAGUUGGUGAGGUAACGGCUCACCAAACCUUCGAUGGAUAGGGGUUCUGAGAGGAAGGUCCCCCACAUUGGAACUGAGACACGGUCCAAACUCCUACGGGAGGCAGCAGUGAGGAAUAUUGGUCAAUGGGCGCAGGCCUGAACCAGCCAAGUAGCGUGAAGGAUGACUGCCCUAUGGGUUGUAAACUUCUUUUAUAUGGGAAUAAAGUUUUCCACGUGUGGAAUUUUGUAUGUACCAUAUGAAUAAGGAUCGGCUAACUCCGUGCCAGCAGCCGCGGUAAUACGGAGGAUCCGAGCGUUAUCCGGAUUUAUUGGGUUUAAAGGGAGCGUAGGUGGACAGUUAAGUCAGUUGUGAAAGUUUGCGGCUCAACCGUAAAAUUGCAGUUGAUACUGGCUGUCUUGAGURCAGUAGAGGUGGGCGGAAUUCGUGGUGUAGCGGUGAAAUGCUUAGAUAUCACGAAGAACUCCGAUUGCGAAGGCAGCUCACUGGACUGCAACUGACACUGAUGCUCGAAAGUGUGGGUAUCAAACAGGAUUAGAUACCCUGGUAGUCCACACAGUAAACGAUGAAUACUCGCUGUUUGCGAUAUACAGUAAGCGGCCAAGCGAAAGCAUUAAGUAUUCCACCUGGGGAGUACGCCGGCAACGGUGAAACUCAAAGGAAUUGACGGGGGCCCGCACAAGCGGAGGAACAUGUGGUUUAAUUCGAUGAUACGCGAGGAACCUUACCCGGGCUUAAAUUGCAUUUGAAUAUAUUGGAAACAGUAUAGC
RNAcentral lists this ribosomal RNA (784 nucleotides) under Bacteroides thetaiotaomicron. Its description in RNAcentral is "bacterial SSU rRNA". The record is from RNAcentral. Lineage: Bacteria; Pseudomonadati; Bacteroidota; Bacteroidia; Bacteroidales; Bacteroidaceae.